GGGCUCAUAGCUCAGGUUGGUUAGAGCGCAUCCCUGAUAAGGAUGAGGUCCCUGGUUCAAAUCCAGGUGGGCCCA
Molecule: transfer RNA, 75 nt
Filed under: bacterium
Lineage: Bacteria
Also listed under: 3 other names
Description: tRNA-Ile
Rfam family: tRNA
About the family: Transfer RNA (tRNA) molecules are approximately 80 nucleotides in length.
Source: RNAcentral